Molecule: long non-coding RNA, 1542 nt
Filed under: Fukomys damarensis (Damara mole-rat)
Lineage: Eukaryota; Metazoa; Chordata; Mammalia; Rodentia; Bathyergidae
Description: lncRNA (ENSFDAG00000030624.1)
Source: RNAcentral
CAGGCUGCGUGGGUGAGUAGGGGGAAGAAAAUAAAAAUAUUUCUCUUUAUAAAUGCAAUUAUGAAAUAAGAAUUGAUCGUGCCUUCUGCAUAUGUAUAUCUCCAGUUCCGUGACUAAGCCAUGGAAAGUCUGAAAACAUGCAGGGGAUCCUGAGUGUCUUCCACAGCUGACCAGCUGCUGCGAAGGAACAUCUGGAGAGAGAAACACUCUCACCCAGACAGCGAGUCACCCCUAAAAAUGUCAACUACAUUACAUCUUCAAGAGAUUCUAGACCUUGCCUCCAAAUAUGGAGUGAUUACCUAUCAACCAGAAAAAUCUCCAGAUGACCCCAGAGCCUAGACGAUUCAGAAGCAUCUGAACUGCUAAAGAGAAAAACACAGAGUCAAAAUAAGUGAAUAAAGUGUCUUCAACUAUUCAACAUCUGUAAACCCCUCAUUUUAGUAAUUUCUGACACACAUUUAAUCCCUCAGCAUUUGAUCACUGAAGAUCCAACAAACCAACACAAUGGAAUGUCUUGAAGGUAGAAAGACCACAAUGUACUACUCUCAUUUAGAUUAUGGAGGGUAUCUUGAUCCAAUCCAUUGAAUCCUCAGGACAUCAGAUAUCUGUCAAAAUGAAGAUACAAUAAUUCUUCAAAAAUUAGUCUACUCAUUAACAAUACUGAAGAAUUAGGCAUAUUAAAGGAGUCUUGCUGUAUCUCAUAAUGAAGUUAGUUUUGUGCUGCAGAAGAGUGUUUCACUCAAAACAGAAUCACUAACUAUGGGGGAUUAUUAGAAACUGAAACUAGCAUUUAUUUCAAUGAUUUGAAUAGCACUACCUCCUUCAUGUUAACGAAAUGCUUCCACACAGAGGACUUUGGAAAGAGAAUCAUUAAGAUAUAAAGAGACGGAUGGAGAGGAGAUGGAGGAAGACAAGGGAAGAGAGCGAGAUCAGAAGAGAGUAGAGAAAUUUGUUUUUUGACACUGCACCUCCAACUUUAUCCUCUUCUGGCAAUAAUUAAGUACCAGGAGAGAGAAAGAAGAAAAAUACAGGAAGGCAAAGAAGAGGACUAGAAGAAAUAUGAAGGAGGAAUAAAGAAAUGUAGGAGACCCUAAGAAAAAUAUACUUAUAAAUUUGAUGUUAGACUCAAAAUUAAGCUCAGUAUAAAAAAAAAUAUCAAACCCUUCAUAGGUGCCAGGCACUGUGUUGGGAGCUAGAACUAUGAUGAUAAAGGACACAUGGCUACUGCUACCAGUCACUCACACACAAAUAAAUAAAGGUUGAAAAGAAAUAACAUGAAAUCCAAGAAAACUUGCAUUGCAAUGAUGAUUAGAAGGCUCAGAAGUGGUCAAGUGCAUUUCUCUCAGCACCUUUGGUGAUGAAUUCCCAUGUCAAAUUAUGUGUUGUCUACUUGACAUUAGCUUUUGGACUUUUUCAAAAUAUUUCUGAAAUUUGUUACUUAGUAAGAGAUUAGGGGAGGGGAGAUAAGAAUCUUUGUGAUUUGCAUCUCAGCAUGUUUCAUUCCCCGUCCAAAUAAAUGUUGUCUGGCUAAAGCAGCACAGC